Molecule: long non-coding RNA, 656 nt
Filed under: Androctonus crassicauda
Lineage: Eukaryota; Metazoa; Arthropoda; Arachnida; Scorpiones; Buthidae
Source: RNAcentral
AGUUUGGUGACCCCUGCCCUAAUCCAAUGAUCUGACAUAUGAAGUGUUUAUUUUUUGUCUGGUUCUUGUAGUUUUGUGUUUUUGUUUAAGAUACUAUAUAGCAUCCUUGUAAACAUUAAUAGUAAGAUAUAAAUGCUCAAAAUUUAUGAAUGACUUAACUAUUCUGACUUAUGAUGACAGAAUUUGAAACCAAACUGCAUUGUAAGUCAAGGACUAUGUGCAUGUGUGUGUGUGUUCAUGUGCAUGCAUAUAUUGCUCCUCUGAUUAUAUUUUAAUGAUUCCAUCAUAGAUCGAAAAAAUUGUAAGUCAAAAACGACUAAUGAUAGAAAUAAUUUUAAUAGAGUUUGCUGUGGUGGAAGCAUUCUGUGUUUUAUCUGUUUCAGUCCGUGAGGGAUCUGGUUCAGUUCUUGGGUUCCAUCUCCAAAUAUUUUUGUUUUUUCAAUUGAACCCUAUCCUCCACCUGAUGGGAAUAGGCAUCUCAUCAGGGGAUGGGGAUAGUGCUGGAAUGCUUUGCCAUUUAAGUAUUUGAAAUAUGGAAAGCUGUGUUAAGCCAUAUAAAUAAAAAAAAAUCUUUUAUAGUAGUAAAAUCAUUUAGAAUUAAACCUGAAUCCUCCAAUGUAAUAAAUGAAUGAUUUAUUAUGCAGCCUUCAACUGAC